GGACAAUGGAGGCAACUCUGAUCCAGCCAUGCCGCGUGCAGGAUGACUGCCCUAUGGGUUGUAAACUGCUUUUAUACAGGAAGAAACAUCUCUACGUGUAGAGACUUGACGGUACUGUAAGAAUAAGGAUCGGCUAACUCCGUGCCAGCAGCCGCGGUAAUACGGAGGAUCCAAGCGUUAUCCGGAAUCAUUGGGUUUAAAGGGUCCGUAGGUGGAUAAUUAAGUCAGAGGUGAAAGUUUGCAGCUCAACUGUAAAAUUGCCUUUGAUACUGGUUAUCUUGAAUCAUUAUGAAGUGGUUAGAAUAUGUAGUGUAGCGGUCA
Molecule: ribosomal RNA, 321 nt
Filed under: Algibacter sp. OB15
Lineage: Bacteria; Pseudomonadati; Bacteroidota; Flavobacteriia; Flavobacteriales; Flavobacteriaceae
Description: bacterial SSU rRNA
Rfam family: Bacterial small subunit ribosomal RNA
Source: RNAcentral